AAAUAAUGUUGGGGGCAAUUUCUUAUCAAUCCUUUGUAGCGUUCCCAUGCUUCGUAAAGUGAAUCACCCAGUUGUUACUCGAAAUUUGCUAUGGCUUUCAUGAGUUU
Small nucleolar RNA from Lactuca sativa (garden lettuce), 107 nucleotides. NCBI's taxonomy places the organism in Eukaryota, Viridiplantae, Streptophyta, Magnoliopsida, Asterales, Asteraceae. The record is from RefSeq and is a predicted model, not a curated record.